RNAcentral lists this unclassified non-coding RNA (1916 nucleotides) under Manduca sexta (tobacco hornworm). RNAcentral describes it as "uncharacterized LOC115439724, transcript variant X1". Lineage: Eukaryota; Metazoa; Arthropoda; Insecta; Lepidoptera; Sphingidae. The record is from RNAcentral.
UAACCUAUGAUGGGUUUUGUUUAACUUUCACUUUUAACGACUAUGCUCUGUUUUACUGACAAUGCUUGUAACUUUAACUAAUUCUCUUUGAAUUUAAGGUAAAAUCGGCCAGGAUGUGAAUAUCAAUGGAUGGAGCGAAAGUUUCGGCCAAAAUAAGAGUCGUGACGAGAUUAGGGAUGUGCUAAUAGGAAUCGAUAAAAGUUCUAAGGCAGGACGUUCGGGCGGCCAUUCAAGAAGUUGGCUGCGGCGCUGAUCCCGCUGGCGUUUCAGAUCGGAGCGGCAUCCACGUGGGCGGUGAUUGCGGCACUCGUGGGCGUGAAGACGCUCGUCAUCACCCUCAUCAUUCUGAAGUUGCUGUUGGUAGCUGGAGCUGCUAAGAUUGGCGCACUCUUUGGUCAGAAAGGUCACUAUAGCGGGGGCUGGGAGGCCCCACAUCCACAUCAAAAGGAAAUACAUCUUCACAUACAUAACGGUCAUCAUGAAACUCACGAUGAACCGAGUUUAAGUUCAUGGAGUAGAGAUGGCGCUCUUGACGGUGUAGAUAGCAACAUCAAUGUUAUGUUAGAGCCAUACGCAGCAGGACCUCAAACUAUAAGCACACCUUACGGAAAUUACGUCAAAGUUGAACCCUCUACCGGUCAAAACUCACCGACCACCGCUUUUUACUAAAAUAUUAAGAUGGUAAAAGGCGAGGAGAGAAUGUAGCAGUGUUCCUUGAAGAUAUUAUGGAAACGGAUUUAGAGUGGAUAAACGAUUGCGACAUGUUUUAUCACACCUCGGUCAUCGUUCUUAGGCCAUGGCCAUGUCUUCGUUUAUUUUAUUUCAUUCCAUAGAGAAUGGGCCGACCUAUCUAGCGCGUUUAGUAAAUUUGGGUGUAAAUUGAUUGGGAAAAAAUUGUCUUAACUUUAACAAUCGAGUGUAAAUUAGUCGUAGAGACAACGUUACAGAGCAAAGUAGUAUUAAUAGCGAAGUCGUUAAUUUUAUUAAACUUAUUUAGGUACUUGGUAGUUGGUGCCUACGAAUAAAUGAUAUAAAAUAUCAAAAAUAAUAUUAUUAUAAGACUGGGUUAAUAAAAAAAUAAAACAAAACGUUUCUAAGUUACAUCAAAACUUUAUUUGAUAUAAUACUUUAAAUACCGCCAAUUUCCAGGUUUCUAUACACCUUCGGAACUACCUACACAUCGAUGAGAACGAUUCAGCGGCCAUCACACAGCGAUCACGUACCGUAUCACCCUGUAAUAAGACUCAAAAUUAUAUCGAUUACACUGUGACCCUACGUUGAACUUAAAUGGUUUGAAAGUUAAGAUAAAACCCCUGCUCUGCAUUUUGCCAACGGUAACAGGAUUGCAUGUGGCUUCUUGCGGUUCCUUUGAGUGUUCUUUUGAUGAUGUUAUGAACAUGAAAUAUUGUCAAAGAUAUCUUGAGUCUACCAAUUGCUGUGGUCGAGGAAAUGAACCUAUUUAUUAGUAGGAGUCUAAGAGAAUUAUAAUAUGUGGGUACUAUAAUAUUUAUAUCCAAGGUUAAUACCUUGCAUAUACAUACACCUUAAUAGGUGCAUCAUAUGAAUUAUGACAAAAUAUUAUAAACUAUGGUAAAUGCUACAAACGUAACUUAAUUCUUGCAUACUUUGUACCUCUUAACGGAUAUAGAGUACUGACUACUGUGUAGGUGGUGAGUUUUUGGCAAGACUCCAUUUUAGUUAAUAGCGCCAUCUAGUUUCAUAAAGCAAUCAUAUUUCCUCAUUUUUCAUAUCAAGGCUAAAUAAAAAAAGCACGGGUUUAUAUCAUAAUUUUCAAUAAUAAUUUAUAAAUAAUUGGAAUUAUUUUAAGAAAUAUUUAUUUUUAUUUAUAAGAACAUUCAAGAUUCCUGUGCUUGUAUUAUUUAAGUUAAUAUAAUAAAUUAUUCUUAAAUCUUUAA